This is a non-coding RNA of Mycena albidolilacea, 89 nucleotides long. The record is from the annotation of a GenBank genome assembly. Lineage: Eukaryota; Fungi; Basidiomycota; Agaricomycetes; Agaricales; Mycenaceae.
UCCUCCCUGGUGUAGUGGUUAACACUUUCACCUUCACCUUCUCCUGGUAUGAAGUUGGGAAGUCUGGUGUUCGAAUCCCCUUGGUGGAU